UCACAGAGGAAGAGUUUGUUUUGAGUAAUUUGUCUUAUUUUCUUUUUUUCAUCCCUUUCCUGUCCCUAAGGAUAGUGUGAGUGUGCACAUAUAGGGGUGUGUGUAUAUAUAUUUACCAGAAAAAUCUGAUACUCCUGGCUCUUUUGAUGGAUUUGAUGUUUGCUGGAAUUUUUUUCUCUUCCACUGAGGUGGCUUCAUUGUGUGGGUGGUCAAGUUAGUUCACGUCUUCUAGUAGCUGUGUUGUACAAGCCAGAGGAGACCAGACUAUCCUUGCUGGUGGGAUACCAACUAUGUUUUCUGACUGGCUAAUGUGACAAAAUGGGAGUUAGGAAGGACCCAUCCGCUUAAGGAGCGGACUAGGCUGACCUACGGUCAAGAGGAUUUUACCUGUGGGCAAUGUGGCUAGAAUAUCAAUUUGGUAUCUGGAGGCUGCUGCAUCUUUGAUGGGGGUUUGUUAAACACACCUGUAAUGCAGAUAUUAAAACAUACCCUUCAGUUGUGUAAACAGUCUGACCUGAGGGGAAGGAGGGAAAUGUAAUAAUAAGAACAUGUUUAGAAGUGUCAAAAUUAGUGCUGAGUGCUUAACUUCUGGUAGUGAUAUUGCUGAUACAAUCUGUAGAUGUGCUUAGUGCUCUUAUUAGUGUCAAUGGAAUAAAGAUACUGUGGAGUGG
This is a long non-coding RNA of Gymnogyps californianus (California condor), 671 nucleotides long. RefSeq lists it as uncharacterized. The transcript is spliced from 3 exons. The record is from RefSeq and is a predicted model, not a curated record. NCBI's taxonomy places the organism in Eukaryota, Metazoa, Chordata, Aves, Accipitriformes, Cathartidae.